Molecule: ribosomal RNA, 492 nt
Filed under: uncultured bacterium
Lineage: Bacteria
Description: partial 16S ribosomal RNA
Rfam family: Bacterial small subunit ribosomal RNA
Source: RNAcentral
AUUGAACGCUGGCGGCAUGCUUUACACAUGCAAGUCGAACGGUAACAGGCCUUCGGGUGCUGACGAGUGGCGCACGGGUGAGUAAUGCAUCGGAGCGUGCCCAGAGGUGGGGGAUAACGCAGCGAAAGCUGUGCUAAUACCGCAUGUGAUCUGAGGAUGAAAGCGGGGGACCAAGCAGCAAUGUUUGGCCUCGCGCCUCUGGAGCGGCCGAUGUCAGAUUAGGUAGUUGGUGGGGUAAAGGCCUACCAAGCCGACGAUCUGUAGCUGGUCUGAGAGGACGACCAGCCACACUGGGACUGAGACACGGCCCAGACUCCUACGGGAGGCAGCAGUGGGGAAUUUUGGACAAUGGGCGCAAGCCUGAUCCAGCAAUGCCGCGUGCGGGAAGAAGGCCUUCGGGUUGUAAACCGCUUUUGUACGGAACGAAAAGGCUCUGGCUAAUACCUGGGGCUGAUGACGGUACCGUAAGAAUAAGCACCGGCUAACUACGUG